AAAUUGAAGAGUUUGAUCAUGGCUCAGAUUGAACGCUGGCGGCAGGCCUAACACAUGCAAGUCGAGCGGUAACACAGAGAGCUUGCUCUCGGGUGACGAGCGGCGGACGGGUGAGUAAUGUCUGGGAAACUGCCUGAUGGAGGGGGAUAACUACUGGAAACGGUAGCUAAUACCGCAUAACGUCGCAAGACCAAAGUGGGGGACCUUCGGGCCUCAUGCCAUCAGAUGUGCCCAGAUGGGAUUAGCUAGUAGGUGGGGUAAUGGCUCACCUAGGCGACGAUCCCUAGCUGGUCUGAGAGGAUGACCAGCCACACUGGAACUGAGACACGGUCCAGACUCCUACGGGAGGCAGCAGUGGGGAAUAUUGCACAAUGGGCGCAAGCCUGAUGCAGCCAUGCCGCGUGUAUGAAGAAGGCCUUCGGGUUGUAAAGUACUUUCAGCGAGGAGGAAGGCAUUAAGGUUAAUAACCUUAGUGAUUGACGUUACUCGCAGAAGAAGCACCGGCUAACUCCGUGCCAGCAGCCGCGGUAAUACGGAGGGUGCAAGCGUUAAUCGGAAUUACUGGGCGUAAAGCGCACGCAGGCGGUCUGUCAAGUCGGAU
This 601-nucleotide ribosomal RNA is filed under the name Klebsiella aerogenes. RNAcentral describes it as "bacterial SSU rRNA". It matches the Rfam family "Bacterial small subunit ribosomal RNA", at positions 1 to 593 of the family's 1533-position model. The record is from RNAcentral. Lineage: Bacteria; Pseudomonadati; Pseudomonadota; Gammaproteobacteria; Enterobacterales; Enterobacteriaceae.